This is a long non-coding RNA of Eucalyptus grandis, 797 nucleotides long. RefSeq lists it as uncharacterized. The transcript is spliced from 4 exons. Lineage: Eukaryota; Viridiplantae; Streptophyta; Magnoliopsida; Myrtales; Myrtaceae. The record is from RefSeq and is a predicted model, not a curated record.
CUUCCUCCAGGGCAGGCGGUUCUUCGGUCUGCCUUUGAGCGAGAAGAUGAAGCUGCCGAGGAACGAGAAGCACUGAGGCUACACUCCUCUGUUCGAUCAAGUCCUUGACCCUGCAAAUCAGAUAAACGGUGGUGGUUGAGUCGCAUUUCCUAGAAAAGGAAGAUCAAUUUGUUAUUAUUCCUGUUUUCGGUUGUAUUCUUGGAGAGAACUGCCACUGAAUUGGGAGUUUGAAUUGCUAACACACGACCAUGAACUCAAGAGAUUAUAAGGAGGGAUACUACAUACAAGUGGAAGUACCAGAGGACGAUCCUCGUGUGUAGAAGGCUCAUUUUGGACCGAACCCCUGGCCUUCUGAGGAGUGAUUAAGGCUGCAAAGAAUGUCUCAGGACCAACAUUAUCUAACCUCCAGCUUGCUGAAGGAGAGAUUAUUCUUGAUAUAGAUGGCACUGUUCCUCUGCAACCUGUAUUGCAGCACAUUGGUAUCUUAGCUUGGCCUGAGUUCUAUCCUGACAAUCAAGUUGUGGGAAUUUAUCGUUGGGUUCCCUGGUUGACUGUGUGGAUCAUCAUCUGUUAGAUAGUGGGAAAUCAAUUGCUGGAAUGAUGAUUUGACUGUAUCGUAGCUGCUGGAGUUUGAUAAUCAUGGACCUUUUAUGUGCAAGAUUACUUCUGACUGAAUGAAUUCUUCAGCCUUGGAAACUUUUGCUUCUCAUCCAUAGCUUCCAUUUGUUAUGAGUAGAGCAAAUUUGAAUUUGAAUUUGCCAAAUGAAAUAUAUGUCCCACAUACUUCAGCUUUAAGA